This 713-nucleotide long non-coding RNA is filed under the name Mus musculus (house mouse). Its description in RNAcentral is "RIKEN cDNA 1700110C19 gene". The record is from RNAcentral. Lineage: Eukaryota; Metazoa; Chordata; Mammalia; Rodentia; Muridae.
GCGUGGGGGUGGAGCGGGACGAAGAUGGCCUGCGGACGGAGGAGCGGGACCGAACCGUUCUGGCGCGGCGCCCACCUCGCGGGGCGGGAAACCCGGCCGUCGGAUCGCUUGGGGUGCGAGGUGGCGGCGGACUGAGUUGGCGUGGGCGCCCACACCGCAAGUGUCUCCGGCGGUAGGGACUCCACUUCUCUGAGUAAAUGAGAGGAGAAGACUAAGACCACCUCUACAAAUCCGACCUCUAAGCGGGGAGCAGUCGGGAAGCCGGUCACAGCCGCUUCUGGAGGUGCAGGAGGUCUCUCUGCCUUCACUGCAGGGAAAUAGAAGGUCCCUCAUCUGUCCCCAGAAGAGCACCUUAUAUCAGCAAGCGGACCCCUGGCACCUGCCAUUGCAGCUUCCAUUGUGCAGCCACAUGUCCCCACCACGACUACCUAGCUCCAAUGUCACAUGGCCUGCAAAAAGGAUCUACCAUUGGAGCCAAAGCUCACCCCACUGGAGCACUAAUGUUGAGCAAAUUGGCUUUCGAAUCAUUCGUUUUCUUCACCAGGAGGGACAAGCUAUCAAUAGACACCUGGGACACGAUUCAGUCUGUUGUAACUGCAACCCUGAGCCAGAAGGAGCGUGCAGAGAACUUCCCUCCCUAGCUCCAUUUCUACACAAACGAUUUACUGUAACUCUUCUACAGUGCUUACACAACAAAUAAAGGUAGCACCGGA